AGGCGACUUUGAAGAUACUACCUCUCUGCUCUUGACCUCAGUUUCCCCGUUUGACUACUUUUGAUUAGUUUGGCAAGGGCGACUGGGAUGAACUAGCCUUUGGAAGGCGGAUUCGAUCGGCACGGCAGGAGGACAUCAUGAGGGCAGCGUGGCAACACUUACUGAUGUUUAGCGUGGGGAAGAACCUCCAUGCAUCCUGGGAGCUGUCAUACCGAGGGGGAGAGGGUUUUCCACAUGCUGACCUCUGAGGUCAAAACUGAGAUAUAAUUUUAAGGAAGAUUUCAGUUCAAUGCAGAGAUACUACCUUUUGAUAAAUGCACAACAAAACAUGCACCCGAGUGUCCUUUAACAACUAAAGGAAGAAAGUGUAUACUGUGAUGCACAUGAAUCUCAAACACAUCAUGUUUGCUUUCAUCUAUAUGAGGUGUCCAGAGCAGGAAAAUCCGAAGAGACAGAAACUAGAGCAGGGCUUGCCUGGGGCUGCACGAUCUCACCACACACUCCAUCAUUUAGCCACACCACCUAUUCACCGGCUUCCCACCUGUCUAGACAGCCAUCCACACACCCACCCACCCAUCCAUUCACAGCCGCCCACCCACUCACGUGCCCAUUCACUCAUCCAUCCAUGGAGCUAACCGCGCACAUACCCAUGCAUGCAUCUAGCCAUCCCUAGCUAUAUGUUCUCCAAAUGUAUUUAUUAAAAGUCCUUUUCAUUUGUAGGAACUAUGCUGAGAAAUGAGGAGCUGUUGUUGAUGGUAGCAUAUUUAUUUUCUCAUUAGCGAGAUGAAAAUACUCUAAAAUAGAUUGUGAUAAUGGCUGUACAGCUCUGAAUAAAAAAAACCACAUUGAACUUAUUUACAUGGACAAAUUGUAUGGCGUGGAAAUAUUUCAAUAAAGCACUAAUAAAAAUAA
Mesocricetus auratus (golden hamster) is the source of this 912-nucleotide long non-coding RNA. RefSeq lists it as uncharacterized. The record is from RefSeq and is a predicted model, not a curated record. The transcript has 2 exons. Lineage: Eukaryota; Metazoa; Chordata; Mammalia; Rodentia; Cricetidae.